AAAAAAAAAGUGAUCUUCUUCUAUCUACCCAACCACCCCCCUCUCCACCUCUGCCGCCACCUCCACUCCGGCGUAGUCUAUUUCUCCCACCUUUUUUGGUCACCGCCCCACCUUAUUUUUCUUUUUUCUCAGCCAUCGUCGUCACCGCGACCUCCGCCGCCCGAGCUCGUUUGUGAAUUGCAGCCUUGUGUUCCACCUCAAACGAAUUUCGUUUUCCCAGCCCUUUGUUACCACUUUGCAAUGAAAUUCAAGCAGAAAAAUCGCCGGAGUUGCGGCUGCCGACUACGGCCAAACAAAAUUCACAAGCUACGAUUCUGCCACCGGAAGCCGCCCCCUAAUUUCCAACCCCCUUCAUCAACCACGAAUAGAGCGGCGCCCUAACCGAAAUCAA
Molecule: long non-coding RNA, 391 nt
Filed under: Erythranthe guttata (spotted monkey flower)
Lineage: Eukaryota; Viridiplantae; Streptophyta; Magnoliopsida; Lamiales; Phrymaceae
Description: long non-coding RNA (EGUT_LNC003198)
Source: RNAcentral